This 422-nucleotide ribosomal RNA is filed under the name uncultured cyanobacterium. RNAcentral describes it as "bacterial SSU rRNA". It matches the Rfam family "Bacterial small subunit ribosomal RNA", at positions 358 to 795 of the family's 1533-position model. Lineage: Bacteria; Bacillati; Cyanobacteriota. The record is from RNAcentral.
GGAAUUUUCCGCAAUGGGCGAAAGCCUGACGGGGCAAUACCGCGUGAGGGAAGACUGCCUAUGGGUUGUAAACCUCUUUUAUCAAGGAAGAAGAUCUGGCGGUACUUGAUGAAUAAGCCACGGCUAAUUCCGUGCCAGCAGCCGCGGUAAUACGGGAGUGGCAAGCGUUAUCCGGAAUUAUUGGGCGUAAAGCGUCCGCAGGCGGCCCUUCAAGUCUGCUGUUAAAAAGUGGAGCUUAACUCCAUCAUGGCAGUGGAAACUGUUGGGCUUGAGUGUGGUAGGGGCAGAGGGAAUUCCCGGUGUAGCGGUGAAAUGCGUAGAUAUCGGGAAGAACACCAGUGGCGAAGGCGCUCUGCUGGGCCAUCACUGACGCUCAUGGACGAAAGCCAGGGGAGCGAAAGGGAUUAGAUACCCCAGUAGUC